AGGAGCAAAAGAAAGUCAAGAUACAUGGAGAGACUGAAGAGUAGAGAGAGAAUCUCACAUUCAUCACUCAGCUGAUUUGAACCCGCAGCGGACAGGACAAAGACGGAAAACAGUGAAUAAGGAAGCCAAAAAAGUAAGAACACAAAGGAGAAAGAAAGAAAAGAGUGAGUGAAAGGGUAAGAGAAUUUGUUUGGGAGCACGUCCAGCAAAGAGUACAGUUUGUGCUGGGACAGCGAACUGGUAUCUCCUUGCAGUGAGCACCAUGGCUGACAAUGUGAAUGAGGACUCUGACUAUAAACCAGGGGAAGAUGAGCUGGAGUGGGGCUAUGAGGAAGGUGUAGAAUGGGGACUCCAUUUCCCAGCAGCCAAUGGGGAAUACCAGUCUCCCAUUAAUUUGAACUCCAGGGAGGCUCAGUAUGAGCCGUCCCUCCUGGACACCAGCUUAUCUCCAAACUACGUGGUGUGUCGAGACUGUGAGGUCAUCAAUGAUGGACACACUGUCCGCAUCGUUCUCAAGUCCAAAUCAGUGGUUACAGGGGGACCGUUGCCUAGUGAUAAUGAAUAUGAGCUUCAUGAAGUUCGAUUCCACUGGGGCAAAGAAAACCAGAGAGGUUCAGAGCACACCGUCAACUUCAAGGCUUUUCCUAUGGAGCUUCAUCUGAUCCACUGGAACAGCACUCUGUUUAACAACUUCGAGGAUGCUCUGGGGAAGAAGAAUGGAGUCCUCAUUAUUGCUCUUUUUGUGCAGAUUGGUAAAGAGCAUCUGGGUUUGAAGGCCGUCACUGAAGUUUUACAGGACCUACAAUACAAGGGCAAGCGCAAAGUCAUCCCGUGUUUCAACCCCAACACCCUGUUACCCGAUCCACUGCUGAGAGACUACUGGGUGUAUGAAGGCUCUCUGACUACACCACCCUGCAGUGAGAAUGUAAUAUGGAUCCUCUACCGCUACCCUCUCACCAUCUCACAGUUACAGAUUGAAGAAUUUCGACGGCUGCGGACACAUUUCAAAGGAGCAGAACUACCAGAAGGGAAUGACGGGAUGCUGGGGGAUAACUUCCGCCCCACCCAGCCGCUGAGUGACCGGACUAUUCGUGCUGCUUUCCAGUGACUUUCACUUUCCCCACCAAGCCACUAAGGGUGUGGAACCUUCAGACACAUUUGAAAGGAGUGAAGAACAGACGGGGGUGAAGAAAGAAAGAAAAACAGUUGCAAAGAGAGAAAACUGAUGUGGCUUCAGACCAGCUCCAGAUUGAAAACAGACUGUGAUUACUGACCUCACAGACUCACUGUGUGUGUGGUGGUGUUGUUUCUGUGCCGCUUAUCUUCUCCCUCUCAUUCCUAUCUUAUGUCUCUGUACCUUCGAUAUUUUUUGAAUAUUAUUGUGCAGAUCUGCUCUGCUGUGUGUGUGUGUGGGGGUGGGUGCAUGUGGGUUUAUUAGAUGACAGGAGGCUUUAGAACAAGGCCACUGUCAAAACAAGAGGAAACAUAAACCACACACACACACACUGUGUGUACUGGGUUAGACUCACAAUGUUUAGGACUAGUAACAGAAGUAGUAAUUGAAGGCUUGUAUUAAUCCAUUUAAAAUUAACAUCAAAACCACCUGAGACUCUCUGAACUUACUUAAAAUAUGUAGUUUUUUCUUUUUUUCUGGAAUAAUUUAAAAGCAGCUUGUCAAAUGAUGAGAGAUUAGCUCUGGUGUGAUGAGUCUCAGAUAUAGACAGAUAGAAGAACUAGAGUUCUGACUCUUUGUAUGACAGCUGGUCCACCAUGUGGAGCCAUCCACCAUGACCACAUGGGACUGAAAGUCCUUCCAAACAAUGGGAACAGUACAAAUCAGUCACUCAACAAUGACGUGGGCCUCAACUUUAUCUUAAUGAAAUCAUGAAAGUUAAUUAAUAGUGUUUACCACAAAGUUAAGUCCCUUCAGCACCUCCCUUGUUUUUCCAGAUCUGAAGUGACUCUGCAUGUUGAUUUGGCAGAUGUUUUAUGCUGGAUGUGCUUCUUGAAGCAAAUCCAUAUUGGAGAAUGGGCAAGGGUGGGGUUUCAACUGGGAACAAAGGCAUUUGAUAAAAACA
RNA transcript from Thalassophryne amazonica, 2078 nucleotides. It is a transcript of the gene named carbonic anhydrase VIII, with no coding region annotated. Lineage: Eukaryota; Metazoa; Chordata; Actinopteri; Batrachoidiformes; Batrachoididae. The record is from RefSeq and is a predicted model, not a curated record. The transcript is spliced from 9 exons.